UCGCGGCUUAUCACCGGCAGUCCCCUUAGAGUGCCCAACUAAAUGAUGGCAACUAAGGGCGAGGGUUGCGCUCGUUGCGGGACUUAACCCAACAUCUCACGACACGAGCUGACGACGGCCAUGCAGCACCUGUGCUGGAGCUCCGAAGAGGGGCACCUGUUUCCAGGCGCUUUCCCCAGCACGUCAAGCCUAGGUAAGGUUCUGCGCGUUGCGUCGAAUUAAACCACAUGCUCCACCGCUUGUGCGGGCCCCCGUCAAUUCCUUUGAGUUUUAGCCUUGCGGCCGUACUCCCCAGGCGGGGUGCUUAAUGCGUUAGCUGCGGCACGGAGGGAGUCGACACCCCCCACACCUAGCACCCAUCGUUUACGGCGUGGACUAC
This 379-nucleotide unclassified non-coding RNA is filed under the name uncultured bacterium. RNAcentral describes it as "contains 16S-23S intergenic spacer region". The record is from RNAcentral.